AACGCACCUUGCACUCACUGGUAUUCCGGUGAGUACGCCUGUUUCAGUAUCAUUGAAAACCCACAACCAAAUAUUUUUUUUAAAUGUUUGGUUGGACUUGGGCUAUUAGUUUGGUUAGUCAUGGUAUUAAUUUUUAAUGCCAAACGACAAAACCAAGCAGCCUGGAAUUUAGUAAUGGUCAAUUGUAUCGUAGUAAUCAUUAUACAAGGCCUGAGCUUUAUAAACGAACUGGACUUUUUGAUUUGACCAGUUUUAGCUCUAGUCAUUGGGAUUACCGUAAAUCGAUCUUGGCUUAAAGGUUCCUAGUCAGUUUCGGCUGUCUAAAACCAAUACCAAAUCAUUUUCUCAGUAUCGAUCUGAAAUCAGGUGGGACUACCCGCUGAACUUAA
RNAcentral lists this unclassified non-coding RNA (389 nucleotides) under uncultured Mucorales. RNAcentral describes it as "sequence contains 5.8S rRNA gene, ITS2, 28S rRNA gene". The record is from RNAcentral. Lineage: Eukaryota; Fungi; Mucoromycota; Mucoromycetes; Mucorales.